CCUACGGGAGGCUGCAGUGAGGAAUAUUGGUCAAUGGUCGGGAGACUGAACCAGCCAAGCCGCGUGAGGGAUGAAGGUACAGAGUAUCGUAAACCUCUUUUGCCAGGGAACAAAGGCGGGGACGUGUCCCCGGCUGAGUGUACCUGAAGAAAAAGCAUCGGCUAACUCCGUGCCAGCAGCCGCGGUAAUACGGAGGAUGCGAGCGUUAUCCGGAUUUAUUGGGUUUAAAGGGUGCGCAGGCGGUCUGUUAAGUCAGCGGUCAAAGCCCGGGGCUCAACCCCGGCCCGCCGUUGAAACUGGCAGUCUCGAGUUGGAGAGAAGUAUGCGGAAUGCGCGGUGUAGCGGUGAAAUGCAUAGAUAUCGCGCAGAACCCCGAUUGCGAAGGCAGCAUGCCGGCUCCACACUGACGCUGAGGCACGAAAGCGUGGGUAUCGAACAGGAUUAGAUACCCCGGUAGUC
This 459-nucleotide ribosomal RNA is filed under the name uncultured bacterium. Its description in RNAcentral is "partial 16S ribosomal RNA". It matches the Rfam family "Bacterial small subunit ribosomal RNA", at positions 338 to 795 of the family's 1533-position model. The record is from RNAcentral.